RNAcentral lists this long non-coding RNA (834 nucleotides) under Homo sapiens (human). Its description in RNAcentral is "HSALNT0379293". Lineage: Eukaryota; Metazoa; Chordata; Mammalia; Primates; Hominidae. The record is from RNAcentral.
UUUCAUUCUGUUAUUAUAAUUGGAUCAAUAAAAGAAUGAAUCAACAAAUAUAUAACUAAAUAAAGAUGAUUCGUGUGAAGCAUUGUCCAAUUAUAAAAAUAGAUGGUGUGGCAAGAAGUAAUAUUAAUAUGUACUGGAAACUCUGAAGUCCAAAGAGAAAUAAAUGAAUGAACGCACUUGAGUUGAUUCAAGCACGCUUCCAUGGUCAUGAGCUCUGUGGUUGCAUCUGUGUGUUAGGAGCAUGCAGACCAAUAGUGAUAAUCUCGAGGUGAUUUAUGCAUUCUUCCAUGGCCACCAGCCUUAUGAUUGCAUCUGUGCGUCACAGCUUAGAGAUCAAUAAUGGAUGCAACAAGCUCUUUGAAUCAUUCUGUUGGGAUCAAGAUUGUUGUGUUCCCUCUGUUUGGAAAGAGACCAAGAAUGGAUACGCUCAGGUGAUUUAAGCAGUCUUCCAUGGCCACGAGCUCUGUGGUUGCCUCUGUAUAUUAAGAGCACAGAGAUUAAAAAUGGGUGCACUUGAGCCGAUUGAAACAUUCCUCCUUGCAUCUUUCUUCUGUGAUUGCAUCUAUUUGUUAGUAGCAUAGAGACCAAUAAUAGAUGGCUUGUGCUGAUGGAAGGAUUCCUCCCUGGUGACAUGCUGUGUCUGCCUCUUGAUUGGGAGCACGCAGACCUACAAUGAUGCACUUUUUAUGAUUUGAGAAUUCCUUCAUGGUCACGUGCUCUGUUUUUAUCAUGGUUGGGAGCCUGCAGAGCAAUAAGGGACAUGCCUUUGCUGAUUUGAGGAUUCCUCUGAGGUUGGGAGCUAAGUUUGCAUCAUGCUUAGAAAGGAGUGUGCAG